Molecule: non-coding RNA, 115 nt
Organism: Triticum aestivum (bread wheat)
Lineage: Eukaryota; Viridiplantae; Streptophyta; Magnoliopsida; Poales; Poaceae
Source: Rfam
UACAUACUCCCUCCGUCCGGGAAAGCUUGUCCCUCAAAUGGAUGUAUCUAGCACUAACUUGGUGCUAGAUACAUCCAUUUGAGGGACAAGCUUUUUCGGACGGAGGGAGUAUUAC